Molecule: long non-coding RNA, 825 nt
Organism: Schistocerca piceifrons (Central American locust)
Lineage: Eukaryota; Metazoa; Arthropoda; Insecta; Orthoptera; Acrididae
Exons: 5
Source: RefSeq, a predicted model, not a curated record
CCUUUACUGUUUUCCAGAAACUUAUCGAAGACCACAAGGCUACAUAUUUUCCAGGGAAGAAGAGAGAUCUCAUAGAUGCAUAUUUGUAUGAAAUUGCAAAACCAGAAGAUGCCCAAGAGGAUAACACAACAUUUACGGAGGAUCAGCUUCUCAUGGUGUUAUACGACAUGUUAGUUGCUGGCUUGGAAGAAACAAGCAGCGCUCUUCAAUUUGCUUUUCUUAUGAUGUUACGGCAUCCCGAUGUCCAAGAACGAGUGCACAAUGAGAUAAAAGAAGCAGUUGGUACUGACAGACCUCCAACACUCGAAGACAAAGACAGGUUGGUUUACACCAGAGCUGCCCUAAUGGAGUCACAGAGAAUGUCUUACGUGUUACCAAUACGUGGAUUUCGGCGGGUUCUCGAAGACACCACGCUACACGGCUAUAGACUCCCAGUGCAGAAUACAACUGUACUGGUAAACAACUGGUCACUGCAUAUGGACAAAGAACACUGAGGUGAUCCUGAAGUUUAUCGAUCAGAACGUUUCAUUAAUGAAACUGGACUACUUAGAGAGGAUGAUGCAUUCUUACCUUUUGGUCUGGGUCGACAUCGAUGUUUGGGGGAGCAUUUUGCAAAAUGUUGUUUAUUUCAAAUUUUUGCUGGAAUCUUGCAGAAAUUUCAACUUGUUCCUGCUGAUGGUACUGACCUGAAGUCUACUGCUUUUGGGGGAUUUAAUCUUGCACCAAAACCUUAUGACAUCAUUUUCAAAUCUCGAUAACAUUGCAAAACCAUACAAAUAUAAUUGUUUUCUUUAUUGUAGUAACAACUGAAAUCCAAUAGAUGAA